This 253-nucleotide ribosomal RNA is filed under the name uncultured bacterium. Its description in RNAcentral is "partial 16S ribosomal RNA". It matches the Rfam family "Bacterial small subunit ribosomal RNA", at positions 524 to 776 of the family's 1533-position model. The record is from RNAcentral.
UACAGAGGGGGCAAGCGUUGUUCGGAAUUACUGGGCGUAAAGGGCGCGUAGGCGGCCUGUUAAGUCGAACGUGAAAUCCCCGGGCUCAACCCGGGAACUGCGUCCGAUACUGGCAGGCUUGAAUUCGGGAGAGGGAUGCGGAAUUCCAGGUGUAGCGGUGAAAUGCGUAGAUAUCUGGAGGAACACCAAUGGCGAAGGCAGCUCGCUGGGACGUUACUGACGCUGAGACGCGAAAGCGUGGGGAGCAAACAGG